Molecule: ribosomal RNA, 253 nt
Filed under: uncultured bacterium
Lineage: Bacteria
Description: partial 16S ribosomal RNA
Rfam family: Bacterial small subunit ribosomal RNA
Source: RNAcentral
UACGUAGGGUGCGAGCGUUGUCCGGAAUUAUUGGGCGUAAAGGGCUCGUAGGCGGUUUGUCGCGUCGGGAGUGAAAACAUCGGGCUUAACUCGGUGCUUGCUUUCGAUACGGGCAGACUUGAGGCAUGCAGGGGAGAACGGAAUUCCUGGUGUAGCGGUGAAAUGCGCAGAUAUCGGGAGGAACACCGGUGGCGAAGGCGGUUCUCUGGGCCUGUACUGACGCUGAGGAGCGAAAGCGUGGGGAGCGAACAGG